GCUUGUCUCAAAGAUUAAGCCAUGCAUGUCUAAGUACAAGCCUCAGUAAGGUGAAACCGCGAAUGGCUCAUUAAAUCACACCUAAUCUACUGGAAAGUUACUAGUUACUUGGAUAACUGAGGUAAUUCUUGAGCUAAUACAUGCGAAAAAUCUCGACUCACGGAGAGAUGCUUUUAUUAGAUCAAAACCAAACGGCUUCGGCCGUCUCAUUGGUGACUCUGAAUAACUUUGGGCUGAUCGUAUGGCCUUGUGCCGGCGAUGAAUCAUUCAAAUUUCUGCCCUAUCAACUUUCGAUGGUAAGGUAUUGGCUUACCAUGGUUACAACGGGUAACGGGGAAUUAGGGUUCGAUUCCGGAGAGGGGGCCUGAGAAAUGGCCACCACAUCCAAGGAAGGCAGCAGG
RNAcentral lists this ribosomal RNA (401 nucleotides) under Crustacea environmental sample. Its description in RNAcentral is "partial small subunit ribosomal RNA". It matches the Rfam family "Eukaryotic small subunit ribosomal RNA", at positions 30 to 432 of the family's 1831-position model. The record is from RNAcentral. Lineage: Eukaryota; Metazoa; Arthropoda.